This 255-nucleotide ribosomal RNA is filed under the name uncultured bacterium. RNAcentral describes it as "partial 16S ribosomal RNA". It matches the Rfam family "Bacterial small subunit ribosomal RNA", at positions 793 to 1055 of the family's 1533-position model. The record is from RNAcentral.
GUCCACGCCGUAAACGAUGGAUACUAGCUGUUCGGAGCAAUCUGAGUGGCUAAGCGAAAGUGAUAAGUAUCCCACCUGGGGAGUACGUUCGCAAGAAUGAAACUCAAAGGAAUUGACGGGGGCCCCGCACAAGCGGUGGAGCAUGUGGUUUAAUUCGAUGAUACGCGAGGAACCUUACCAAGGCUUAAAUGUAGUUUGACCGUUUUGGAAACAGAACUUUCGCAAGACAAUUACAAGGUGCUGCAUGGUUGUCGU